AAAAUGACAUCCAAACACACAAUGCGGCAGCUUUAGAUGUGGUUACAGGGUGCUGUAUACAUGAUUGUAAGAUUCCAUAACUUUGAAGGUCAUGCUUUCACAGUCUGCUAAGUGGAAUCUCUUCAAGGCUAUUCUGAAAACUAUUAUCUAAGAGUGCGCAAGAGAAAAACACCUGAUGUUCGUGCUUGGCAUCAAAGCUUUUCAGUAUAGUGAAUUUGAAGAAUUCAAAAAUGUGAGCUGCUGGCCAAUGGCUAAUAUAAACCUGAAGGAAAGAGAUCACCAGCUAGCCCAAGCAAGCCAAAAAGUUGGGCAUCCAGGGCCUAAGCAUUGGAAAGACAUACUUGGAGCUGCCCAGCACUGCCUGUAUGUUA
This 371-nucleotide long non-coding RNA is filed under the name Numida meleagris (helmeted guineafowl). RNAcentral describes it as "lncRNA (ENSNMEG00000008019.1)". The record is from RNAcentral. Lineage: Eukaryota; Metazoa; Chordata; Aves; Galliformes; Numididae.